This 78-nucleotide transfer RNA is filed under the name Triticum aestivum (bread wheat). It matches the Rfam family "tRNA". Rfam says of the family: Transfer RNA (tRNA) molecules are approximately 80 nucleotides in length. Their secondary structure includes four short double-helical elements and three loops (D, anti-codon, and T loops). The record is from Rfam by way of RNAcentral. Lineage: Eukaryota; Viridiplantae; Streptophyta; Magnoliopsida; Poales; Poaceae.
GUUUAUAUGGCCGAGUUGGUCUAAGGCGCCAGAUUAGGGUUCUGGUCCGAAGGGGUGGUUAAAAUCCCACUGGUAACA